Ribosomal RNA from Gasterosteus aculeatus aculeatus (three-spined stickleback), 124 nucleotides. Lineage: Eukaryota; Metazoa; Chordata; Actinopteri; Perciformes; Gasterosteidae. The record is from Ensembl.
GCUUACGGCCAUAUCCUCUCUUGGCUCCGCCUGAUCUCGUCUGAUCUCAGAAGCUAAAGCAGAGUAGGGCCUGGUUAGUACUUGGAUGGAAAGACCGCCCUGGGAAUCCCAGGUGCCGUAAGCU